AUACCUUUCUUGGCCUUUUUGCUAAGAUCAAGUGUUGUAUAUGCUCUUAUCAGUUUAAUAUCUGAUACGUGAGCCAAUGGCUCACACGAUAUUAACUCAAUAUUUUUUUUUAGGGUAAAGAUUCACUGAUGUAUCUUGCUGCUUGGGUCUUUGAGUGUCGCCUUGGCCUGGCACACCCCACCAAUUCUAGUCCAUCAUUU
Molecule: small nuclear RNA, 200 nt
Filed under: Ipomoea nil (Japanese morning glory)
Lineage: Eukaryota; Viridiplantae; Streptophyta; Magnoliopsida; Solanales; Convolvulaceae
Description: U2 spliceosomal RNA
Rfam family: U2 spliceosomal RNA
About the family: U2 is a small nuclear RNA (snRNA) component of the spliceosome (involved in pre-mRNA splicing). Complementary binding between U2 snRNA (in an area lying towards the 5' end but 3' to hairpin I) and the branchpoint sequence (BPS) of the intron results the bulging out of an unpaired adenosine, on the BPS, which initiates a nucleophilic attack at the intronic 5' splice site, thus starting the first of two transesterification reactions that mediate splicing.
Source: Rfam by way of RNAcentral